Non-coding RNA from Pelobates cultripes (western spadefoot toad), 664 nucleotides. Lineage: Eukaryota; Metazoa; Chordata; Amphibia; Anura; Pelobatidae. The record is from the annotation of a GenBank genome assembly.
GGGACCGCUACUUCCCGUUGAUACAGUGGGGUCCGGUUGGUGUUCUGCAAACUAUUUCUAUCUGAUGCCUCUAGGAAACAAUGGGCCUGUACAAUUAGGAAUAGCAGUAAAUAUGAUUCAGUCAGCGUCAGGUUAUAUUAGCAUGCAUCAUUAACAGUUAGAAAUAUUCCACUCUACCCCACUUCCCAUCCAGCUCUCCCCCGGCUCCCUGGAUCAAAGAUACCCUUUCUUAAAUGCAAGUGUCCCAAUUUAGUGUCCUCAUUCGUGGGGGGUCACCGUUUUUGCGUCCAGGAUGCCUGAGUUUGUGCUGAAUAUCCAGUCAGGCAAUCGGUAUCUGCUGUCCAAUGCCCCCUUAUGACCCUCUCCCCCCCCCCCAAAGUAUCUUGUGCCCACCCCGUGUCGGGCAACAACCAUGGUAGAGAGUCAGGGGGUGGCCCAGAGACCCACCCGCAUGCCUGCUUCAGGUGGGUGUCAGCUCCCGUGUGCGCCCUUAAACCCAGGAUCUCCCCUCCCAAAGCUCCAUGUCCCGGAACAUUAACCCAAAGUACCUGUGGGUGUGCCGUGCGUUCUUUUCAUCUCGACAUCAGGGGGUAGAAGUGGGUUGCGUGCGAUAAGCGAUUGGGGUCCAGCCCUCCAGGGACGAUGCGUGAACAGGAAAAGCUGG